RNAcentral lists this long non-coding RNA (299 nucleotides) under Monodelphis domestica (gray short-tailed opossum). RNAcentral describes it as "lncRNA (ENSMODG00000037037.1)". The record is from RNAcentral. Lineage: Eukaryota; Metazoa; Chordata; Mammalia; Didelphimorphia; Didelphidae.
AUUGGCCCAGGUAAAAGAGAUCUAUUUAUUCCAUGAAUUUCUAAAAAUGAUUUCUUAUUCUUUAUUUUUCAGAAAAAUAUGUUUGAAUCUGACAGGCAACAACAAAAUAUGAACAUUUCCAUAACUGAAGAACAGAGGUUCAACUUGCAGUGAGUCCAUAAGCUGUUUACCUCCCCUCUCCCUGAGCAUCUUGACAAUCAGUCAAUCAACAAACUUUUCUAUGCUAAAGGCUAAGAACAACAACAAAAAAAGAUUUAAAUAUUUCCUUCCUUAAGAGUUUGCAUUCAAAAGUGUGAGAC